UGCAAAGUCGAGCGGACAGAUGGGAGCUUGCUCCCUGAUGUUAGCGGCGGACGGGUGAGUAACACGUGGGUAACCUGCCUGUAAGACUGGGAUAACUCCGGGAAACCGGGGCUAAUACCGGAUGGUUGUUUGAACCGCAUGGUUCAAACAUAAAAGGUGGCUUCGGCUACCACUUACAGAUGGACCCGCGGCGCAUUAGCUAGUUGGUGAGGUAACGGCUCACCAAGGCAACGAUGCGUAGCCGACCUGAGAGGGUGAUCGGCCACACUGGGACUGAGACACGGCCCAGACUCCUACGGGAGGCAGCAGUAGGGAAUCUUCCGCAAUGGACGAAAGUCUGACGGAGCAACGCCGCGUGAGUGAUGAAGGUUUUCGGAUCGUAAAGCUCUGUUGUUAGGGAAGAACAAGUACCGUUCGAAUAGGGCGGUACCUUGACGGUACCUAACCAGAAAGCCACGGCUAACUACGUGCCAGCAGCCGCGGUAAUACGUAGGUGGCAAGCGUUGUCCGGAAUUAUUGGGCGUAAAGGGCUCGCAGGCGGUUUCUUAAGUCUGAUGUGAAAGCCCCCGGCUCAACCGGGGAGGGUCAUUGGAAACUGGGGAACUUGAGUGCAGAAGAGGAGAGUGGAAUUCCACGUGUAGCGGUGAAAUGCGUAGAGAUGUGGAGGAACACCAGUGGCGAAGGCGACUCUCUGGUCUGUAACUGACGCUGUUGAGCGAAAUCGUGGGGAGCGCCCAGGAUUAGCUACGGGGGUUUUCCACCCCGUUAAGA
This 771-nucleotide ribosomal RNA is filed under the name Bacillus subtilis. RNAcentral's name for it is "bacterial SSU rRNA". It matches the Rfam family "Bacterial small subunit ribosomal RNA", at positions 56 to 808 of the family's 1533-position model. The record is from RNAcentral. Lineage: Bacteria; Bacillati; Bacillota; Bacilli; Caryophanales; Bacillaceae.